UAUGUGAAUGUCACUUUUAAGUUGCUGUGAGUGCUGCAAAAGUGAUAAGGGGCUAAGUCUGUGGUUGUCGUUGGUUUCGGGCUGAGAGGAAAGAGUUCGGUUGAUGCGUUUGGGUUAUGGUUUCGACGAGUCGAGUGGUUGAAGAUGAUG
Molecule: non-coding RNA, 150 nt
Organism: Arachis ipaensis
Lineage: Eukaryota; Viridiplantae; Streptophyta; Magnoliopsida; Fabales; Fabaceae
Source: RefSeq, a predicted model, not a curated record